This 450-nucleotide ribosomal RNA is filed under the name uncultured bacterium. Its description in RNAcentral is "partial 16S ribosomal RNA". It matches the Rfam family "Bacterial small subunit ribosomal RNA", at positions 354 to 796 of the family's 1533-position model. The record is from RNAcentral.
GUGGGGAAUAUUGCACAAUGGGCGCAAGCCUGAUGCAGCCAUGCCGCGUGUAUGAAGAAGGCCUUCGGGUUGUAAAGUACUUUCAGCGAGGAGGAAGGUGUUGUGGUUAAUAACCGCAGCAAUUGACGUUACUCGCAGAAGAAGCACCGGCUAACUCCGUGCCAGCAGCCGCGGUAAUACGGAGGGUGCAAGCGUUAAUCGGAAUUACUGGGCGUAAAGCGCACGCAGGCGGUCUGUCAAGUCGGAUGUGAAAUCCCCGGGCUCAACCUGGGAACUGCAUACGAAACUGGCAGGCUAGAGUCUUGUAGAGGGGGGUAGAAUUCCAGGUGUAGCGGUGAAAUGCGUAGAGAUCUGGAGGAAUACCGGUGGCGAAGGCGGCCCCCUGGACAAAGACUGACGCUCAGGUGCGAAAGCGUGGGGAGCAAACAGGAUUAGAUACCCGUGUAGUCC